This 468-nucleotide ribosomal RNA is filed under the name uncultured bacterium. Its description in RNAcentral is "partial 16S ribosomal RNA". It matches the Rfam family "Bacterial small subunit ribosomal RNA", at positions 28 to 507 of the family's 1533-position model. The record is from RNAcentral.
GACGAACGCUGGCGGCGUGCUUAACACAUGCCAGUCGAACGGAAAGGCCCUGCUUUUGUGGGGUGCUCGAGUGGCGAACGGGUGAGUAACACGUGAGUAACCUGCCCUUGACUUUGGGAUAACUUCAGGAAACUGGGGCUAAUACCGGAUAGGAGCUCCUGCUGCAUGGUGGGGGUUGGAAAGUUUCGGCGGUUGGGGAUGGACUCGCGGCUUAUCAGCUUGUUGGUGGGGUAGUGGCUUACCAAGGCUUUGACGGGUAGCCGGCCUGAGAGGGUGACCGGCCCCAUUGGGACUGAGAUACGGCCCAGACUCCUACGGGAGGCGGCAGUGGGGAAUAUUGCACAAUGGGCGGAAGCCUGAUGCAGCAAAGCCGCGUGCGGGAUGACGGCCUUCGGGUUGUAAACCGCUUUCGCCUGUGACGAAGCGUGAGUGACGGUAAUGGGUAAAGAAGCACCGGCUAACUACGUG